GAUGAACGCUGGCGGCGUGCCUAAUACACGCAAGUCGAGCGAACGGACGAGAAGCUUGCUUCUCUGAUGUUAGCGGCGGACGGGUGAGUAACACGUGGAUAACCUACCUAUAAGACUGGGAUAACUUCGGGAAACCGUAGCUAAUACCGGAUAAUAUUUUGAACCACAUGGUUCAAAAGUGAAAGACGGUCUUGCUGUCACUUAUAGAUGGAUCCGCGCUGCAUUAGCUAGUUGGUAAGGUAACGGCUUACCAAGGCAACGAUGCAUAGCCGACCUGAGAGGGUGAUCGGCCACACUGGAACUGAGACACGGUCCAGACUCCUACGGGAGGCAGCAGUAGGGAAUCUUCCGCAAUGGGCGAAAGCCUGACGGAGCAACGCCGCGUGAGUGAUGAAGGUCUUCGGAUCGUAAAACUCUGUUAUUAGGGAAGAACAUAUGUGUAAGUAACUGUGCACAUCUUGACGGUACCUAAUCAGAAAGCCACGGCUAACUACGUG
Molecule: ribosomal RNA, 497 nt
Filed under: uncultured bacterium
Lineage: Bacteria
Description: partial 16S ribosomal RNA
Rfam family: Bacterial small subunit ribosomal RNA
Source: RNAcentral